Molecule: ribosomal RNA, 500 nt
Filed under: uncultured Bacillus sp.
Lineage: Bacteria; Bacillati; Bacillota; Bacilli; Caryophanales; Bacillaceae
Description: bacterial SSU rRNA
Rfam family: Bacterial small subunit ribosomal RNA
Source: RNAcentral
GUGGGGUCGGCAGGUGUCCACCAACGCAGGUGCCGGCAGCGUAUGGUUCAGAUCGUGUCGGGGGAUAUUGGGUUAAUUCCAGCAAUGAGCGAACCCCUGGUCCUUAGUUGCCAUCAUUCAGUGGGGAGCUCUAAGGAGACCGCCGGUGCCAAACCGGAGGAAGGUGGGGAUGACGUCAAGUCAUCAUGGCUUUUAUGGCCAGGGCUACACACGUGCUACAAUGGCAAGUACAGAGGGAAGCCAACCGGCGACGGGGAGCUAAUCCCAGAAAACUUGUCUUAGUCCGGAUUGCAGUCUGCAACUCGACUGCAUGAAGUUGGAAUCGCUAGUAAUCGCAGAUCAGCAUUGCUGCGGUGAAUACGUUCCCGGGUCUUGUACACACCGCCCGUCACACCAUGGGAGUUGAUUGCACCAGAAGCAGGUAGCCUGACCGCAAGGAGGGCGCUUACCACGGUGUGGUUAAUGACUGGGGUGAAGUCGUAACAAGGUAAAUGCCAACA